GGCCCGUUCGUCUAUCGGUUAGGACAAAUGGUUUUCAUCCAUUAAAGAGGGGUUCGACUCCCCUACGGGCUACUA
This 75-nucleotide transfer RNA is filed under the name Bacteroidota bacterium. Its description in RNAcentral is "Bacteroidetes bacterium (freshwater metagenome) tRNA-Glu". It matches the Rfam family "tRNA". Rfam says of the family: Transfer RNA (tRNA) molecules are approximately 80 nucleotides in length. The record is from RNAcentral. Lineage: Bacteria; Pseudomonadati; Bacteroidota.